UCCUUCCAGCAAAAUGUACUGCCAUCAGUUUCAGAAGUUUUCUUCGAAAGUCAGAGAAAUUCUUUUGCAAGUGAAUGUACAGUGGAAUCUAUAGUGAGUAGAAGCAGGGACUCACUGGUUUCAAAUGAACCAAUUAAAAGCCAGCAAGUUGAGCAGAGUUUUCAGUCCACAUAUGACAGCAUGAAUGAUGAGUCUGAUCUCAAUAGCGCCCUCUAUAAUAGCGUCAGGAAUUCAGUUGAAGCAUUGAAUAACAGUAAAGAAUUCAGAAGCAGUAAAGUAAGGCCCACCUGACUCUUGACCUUGAUCCUGAUGGUGAACCUACUCAAACUGAGGUUGAAAGAAUUGAGAUGUGGGAUAAAUCUGUGAAACAAAAUUACAAGCCAGGAAAACGUGCAAGCAGUGCGUAAGCUCGCUAUUCAACAUCAAUGAUGAAAGAUACGACCAGCAUUGGAAGAGCUGCAGUCCUGUGAUGAUCCAAAUGGGCAACAGUUGGCUGGCUAAUUACUAUGAAGGAGAUGAGACAAUUUAUGCCACUAAAUCCACCCAGCAGCCCUCAGCAAGGCAGAAACCCUUGGGGGUCACACAUAGGCUUAACCUAGUGAGCCUUGGACACACCCGCGCAUAGUGGUUCCAGGAUUUCCAAGUUCAAACAUCUUAUUGAUUUCUACUCGUAUGUUAAUAUGAAAGAAAUGGUCUUCAAUGGAGAAUUUGGUUACGGAAACCAAAAAGAACAAUUGGAGACAGCAAAAUAUACCACAAUCUAUUUCAGAAGUUUUGCACGAAAGACAGAAAAAUUCAUUUAUAUACGAAAGCACAGUAAAGUCUAUGGUGAGUAGAAGCAGGGCCUCGCUGGUUUCAGAUGAAACAAUUAAAAGCCAGCAAGUUGAGCAGAGUACCCAGUCCACAUAUGACAGCAUGAAUGAUGAGUCUAAUCUCAAUAGCGCCCUCUAUGAUAGUCAGGAAUGCAGUUGAAACAUUGAAUAGUAACAGUAUAGAGGUAUUUAUGGUGAACAUAAUUUUCGACGCCAUGCCAGACCAUAAUAUAAAUAUACAAGUUUUCAAUAAAACAUUGCUCUAAUCUGGAAUACAGUCCACUCCACCUGAUUUUUUUUACUAGAUUUAAGGUGAGUGAUUUUCAUACCCAAGGUGCUCUAUUUUUUUCACACCCCUGAAGAGCAGUUUAGGUGAGUGAUGGUGUAUGGGAGUGCAAUCGCUUGCCUCAAAUCACAAGCCCAGCACUUAAAAUCUUCUUUCAACCAGAUUUAUAUUUUAAAAUAUCAAUUUUUAUCAACUAUAGAACUGCAUCCAUCCUCGGUAACACAUUUAGCCAAUCAAUUGAUUUUUUUUUUUUUUUGGUAGAAUAUGUUGCGCAUGUUACAAAAAUACAUGAUAAUAAACUGUAAUUGGAGUACUGCGUGGUACAUCUUCACAAAUAUGAUGAGAAAACAACUGUCUUUGUUGUUAAAUAUUGCACUGAUA
This is a long non-coding RNA of Anneissia japonica, 1479 nucleotides long. RefSeq lists it as uncharacterized. The transcript is spliced from 7 exons. NCBI's taxonomy places the organism in Eukaryota, Metazoa, Echinodermata, Crinoidea, Comatulida, Comatulidae. The record is from RefSeq and is a predicted model, not a curated record.